AAUGAACGCUGGCGGCAGGCCUAACACAUGCAAGUCGAACGAGGUAGCAAUACCUAGUGGCGGACGGGUGAGUAACGCGUGGGAACGUGCCCCUUGGUACGGAAUAGCCCUGGGAAACUGGGAGUAAUACCGUAUGUGGUCGAGAGACGAAAGAUUUAUCGCCAAGGGAUCGGCCCGCGUUGGAUUAGGUAGUUGGGGGGGUAAUGGCCUACCAAGCCGACGAUCCAUAGCUGGUUUGAGAGGAUGAUCAGCCACACUGGGACUGAGACACGGCCCAGACUCCUACGGGAGGCAGCAGUGGGGAAUCUUAGACAAUGGGGGAAACCCUGAUCUAGCCAUGCCGCGUGAUCGAUGAAGGCCUUAGGGUUGUAAAGAUCUUUCAGCGGGGAAGAUAAUGACGGUACCCACAGAAGAAGCCCCGGCUAACUCCGUGCCAGCCGCCGCCGUAA
This 449-nucleotide ribosomal RNA is filed under the name uncultured bacterium. RNAcentral describes it as "partial 16S ribosomal RNA". It matches the Rfam family "Bacterial small subunit ribosomal RNA", at positions 29 to 523 of the family's 1533-position model. The record is from RNAcentral.